GUCUUAUAAUGCAAUUUUUCGUAGGCCUACUGUAGAUUCAAAAUUGUAUUUCUGUAAAAUCCCUGAAUAUUUUCUCUUGUAUGCAGGGUCAAUGCUUAAAUAUGUUCAAGGAGGAUCUCAAGGACAGGAUGAACCAUCCAGUAGUAGUGCCAUCCCUGGACAUCAACCACCAGCCAUUGUAGACCCUGCAACAAUCCCUAGCCAAGAAGAACAAGAACCAUCAACCACCAGUUCAGGAGAGGUUUGAGACCAUGAAUCAAGUGAAGGAGAAAUAUGGAGUGCUGCUUGAUUUCAGCAAAGUGAAUGGGAUGUCCAAGGAGGAUUUAAAAAAACACUGCACUGAAGUACAGAAGACACUGACAGAUAAGGGAGUAGCUGACAUUGAUGGACCUGAGAUGAUGCAGGAAAUCAUCAACCUUCCUCAGCUGCCACCACAGACGUCUGCUUUGGAAAUGCUGUCAUUU
Oreochromis aureus is the source of this 464-nucleotide long non-coding RNA. Lineage: Eukaryota; Metazoa; Chordata; Actinopteri; Cichliformes; Cichlidae. The record is from Ensembl.